AAUCCAUAGGUUAAUGAGGCGAACCGGGGGAACUGAAACAUCUAAGUACCCCGAGGAAAAGAAAUCAACCGAGAUUCCCCCAGUAGCGGCGAGCGAACGGGGAGGAGCCCAGAGCCUGAAUCAGCAUGUGUGUUAGUGGAAGCGUCUGGAAAGGCGCGCGAUACAGGGUGACAGCCCCGUACACAAAAGCGCAUGUGCUGUGAGCUCGAUGAGUAGGGCGGGACACGUGGUAUCCUGUCUGAAUAUGGGGGGACCAUCCUCCAAGGCUAAAUACUCCUGACUGACCGAUAGUGAACCAGUACCGUGAGGGAAAGGCGAAAAGAACCCCGGCGAGGGGAGUGAAAAAGAACCUGAAACCGUGUACGUACAAGCAGUGGGAGCACAGGUUUACCUGUGUGACUGCGUACCUUUUGUAUAAUGGGUCAGCGACUUAUAUUCUGUAGCAAGGUUAACCGAAUAGGGGAGCCGGAGGGAAACCGAGUCUUAACCGGGCGUUAAGUUGCAGGGUAUAGACCCGAAACCCGGUGAUCUAGCCAUGGGCAGGUUGAAGGUUGGGUAACACUAACUGGAGGACCGAACCGACUAAUGUUGAAAAAUUAGCGGAUGACCUGUGGCUGGGGGUGAAAGGCCAAUCAAACCGGGAGAUAGCUGGUUCUCCCCGAAAGCUAUUUAGGUAGCGCCUCGUGAAUUCAUCUCCGGGGGUAGAGCACUGUUUCGGCUAGGGGGCCAUCCCGGCUUACCAACCCGAUGCAAACUGCGAAUACCGGAGAAUGUUAUCACGGGAGACACACGGCGGGUGCUAACGUCCGUCGUGAAGAGGGAAACAACCCAGACCGCCAGCUAAGGUCCCAAAGUCAUGGUUAAGUGGGAAACGAUGUGGGAAGGCCCAGACAGCCAGGAUGUUGGCUUAGAAGCAGCCAUCAUUUAAAGAAAGCGUAAUAGCUCACUGGUCGAGUCGGCCUGCGCGGAAGAUGUAACGGGGCUAAACCAUGCACCGAAGCUGCGGCAGCGAACGUAUCACUUAAAGC
Molecule: ribosomal RNA, 1028 nt
Filed under: Salmonella enterica subsp. enterica serovar Infantis
Lineage: Bacteria; Pseudomonadati; Pseudomonadota; Gammaproteobacteria; Enterobacterales; Enterobacteriaceae
Description: partial 23S ribosomal RNA
Rfam family: Bacterial large subunit ribosomal RNA
Source: RNAcentral